GGGGCCGACCGCCGGUUGUGACAUACCACAUCGGGGCUCCGAUCACAUUAGUGUCUCAAAGGAGCAAGAGGUUUCUCUGCUGCCCCAAUAUAUCAAUUCACUGUACAAACGAGGCCUUUAACCAAGAGAUCAUUUACAUUCCCUCCCCUUCUUUAUGUGUUUUUUUGUCCUGAUGUUAAGACACAUAAUAUAGGUUGCCUAGCAACCUGUUCAAACACAUCACUUCCGCUGAACACAGCGGAGGUCAGAUGUUUAUUAUAAGCUAAUUAAGUACAAUGCAGCUAUUGGCCAAUAACUACCUACAUAGGUAUUUAAACCUCAGUCUAUAACACCAUACCAGUAGCAUUGGAAGUGAACAAGCCCGCAGGACGGGUGAAACGCGUUUUCAAGCUCCAGCAGGACCUAUUUCCAGUUCCAGCUUGACCCUAUCUCAGCAUUCCAGCAUGAAAAACUUCUACAUGUAUUAAGGACCUGAGGAAUAUAUCUUGCAUCCUAUUACCUAUUGACUGACCCAGGGACCUGGGCAGGGACCGGUACACUUUUGUAUCUACUUUUAUGAGAUUCUCUAUACCAACACAGCAAUGCAGUAUAUAUAUAUUUUUGUCAUAACCCUAUUUAGGGCAGCCCAGGGAUCUGGACUAUGAUUGUGAUAUCUUGAAUGAUAUUUUGAAAGAGAUUCUUAUUAUCCCCUCAUUUGCUUUGUCAGAUAUCCCUCACCCUCUCUCCAAUUGCCCCAUUUUUUUUUUUUUUUUUCAAGCACGAAAAUUGUUAUAUUAUCACUGUUAUUUGUAUGCUGGUUCCUAAACAGAGGAGAGAAGUAAGAAUGUGAUAAAGGCAUUCCGGUCCCAGAGUUCCUUUUGUUUAUAUGGCUUUUAAGUUGUCAUGGUGAUGGGUUAGUCACGAUAGCCGGAAGUGUGCCGUCGUCAGGACAACAGUGUCCGUUGAUGAUGACGCAACCGGAUGUAGGUCCCGGCGUGGACACCGAAGACGCGACACUGGUGGUGUUUCUUAGAGUGUAUAAAGGUCCCUCUCCAAUUCCAAAGACGGGCUAAUAGCUGAGGUCCGAACAGCAGGAACAAGAAUACUUCUCCGAUAUGGCCUUUUUCCGUAUUUACCAGAUAUACCAGCAAAGUCCAAGGAAUGCGACACUGAUGACCAUUAAAUAUAUUUUAUUAUACUGGAAAAGACGGUUGCAGACCUCGUUCUUAUCAUACAGUGUUCAAUUUGCACAUAUAAGAUCAACCUUAACCUUUAACAAUUAUACUCUUCCUAUUAUACCUAUA
This is a long non-coding RNA of Pseudophryne corroboree (corroboree frog), 1283 nucleotides long. RefSeq lists it as uncharacterized. Lineage: Eukaryota; Metazoa; Chordata; Amphibia; Anura; Myobatrachidae. The transcript has 3 exons. The record is from RefSeq and is a predicted model, not a curated record.